RNAcentral lists this ribosomal RNA (378 nucleotides) under Dilabifilum sp. RNAcentral describes it as "partial small subunit ribosomal RNA". It matches the Rfam family "Eukaryotic small subunit ribosomal RNA", at positions 587 to 975 of the family's 1831-position model. The record is from RNAcentral. Lineage: Eukaryota; Viridiplantae; Chlorophyta; Chlorophyceae; Chaetophorales; Chaetophoraceae.
AGCUCCAAUAGCGUAUAUUUAAGUUGUUGCAGUUAAAAAGCUCGUAGUUGGAUUUCGGGUGGGCUGCGCCGGUCUCCUAACGGUUGUACUGGCGACGCCUGCCUUGCUGCCGGGGACGGGCUCCUGCCUUCACUGUCGGGACCCGGAAUCGGCGACGUUACUUUGAGUAAAUUAGAGUGUUCAAAGCAAGCCUACGCUCUGAAUAUAAUAGCAUGGGAUAACACGACAGGACUCUGGCCUAUCGUGUUGGUCUGUAGGACCAGAGUAAUGAUUAAGAGGGACAGUCGGGGGCAUCCGUAUUCCGUUGUCAGAGGUGAAAUUCUUGGAUUUACGGAAGACGAACAUCUGCGAAAGCAUUUGCCAAGGAUGUUUUCAUUG